UACGGAAGGCAGCAGUAGGGAAUUUUCGUCAAUGGGGAAACCCUGAACGAGCAACGCCGCGUGAGUGAAGAAGGUCUUCGGAUCGUAAAGCUCUGUUGUCAGGGACGAACGCUGCGGAUAAGGGAAUGAUCCGCAGGUGACGGUAACCUGACCAGCAAGUCGCGGCUAACUACGUGCCAGCAGCCGCGGUAAUACGUAGGUGGCGAGCGUUAUCCGGAAUUAUUGGGCGUAAAGGGUGCGUCAGGCGGUUGUUCAAGUCCAAGGUGAAAGCCCGAAGCUCAACUUCGGCGAGCCUUGGAAACUGGAUGACUGGAGUGCAGGAGAGGUGAGUGGAAUUCCAUGUGUAGCGGUAAAAUGCGUAGAGAUAUGGAGGAACACCAGUGGCGAAAGGCGGCUCACUGGGCCUGUAAACUGACGCUGAGGCACGAAAGCGUGGGGAGCAAAAUGGAUUAGGAUAACC
This 460-nucleotide ribosomal RNA is filed under the name uncultured bacterium. RNAcentral's name for it is "bacterial SSU rRNA". It matches the Rfam family "Bacterial small subunit ribosomal RNA", at positions 340 to 787 of the family's 1533-position model. The record is from RNAcentral.